This 533-nucleotide long non-coding RNA is filed under the name Carica papaya (papaya). RNAcentral's name for it is "long non-coding RNA (CPAP_LNC011454)". Lineage: Eukaryota; Viridiplantae; Streptophyta; Magnoliopsida; Brassicales; Caricaceae. The record is from RNAcentral.
AUUGGUUCUGGUUUCUCGGGCGCUCUCUCGCAUAGUGUUGUGCACUACCACAUAUGCAACAGGUGUUGUUGAGGCGGUAGCAUGGUCGAUCCCCGUGAUCCUUGCCACAGUGCUGGCAAAUCUUUCCAUGUGCUGCCCCUGGAGCCUGAGGAGGGGCCUAGAUCACUGGUCUGGGCCUCUUAUUUGGUUAGACCGGCGUAGUAGGUGCUGGUCUGCGGGGUGGAGCUGAGGGUCGGUGACUCCCUGCUGACUGAGGACGGGUGUUGAAACUCCUCUCCACAAUCUGUGCCUUUACUAGAACGGCUGAGUAUGUCUUGAACUCCAGUACCAAUAAGUGUUGCUUGAUUUCUGGGCGGAGGCCCCACUGGAAUCUCCUGGCCUUCCUGCCUUCAUCCAUUAAUGUCUCCGGGGAGUAUCGGCCCAGCUCUAGGAACUUACGAGCAUAUUCCGAUACCAUCAUGUUUCUCUGGACAAGCUGAACAAACUCCAUCUCCUUCAGGUGUCGGAUGUGCUCAAUGAGAUAUUCUGCAUAG